AUUCCUCCCUCGGCCUCAUAGCCACGAUCAAGUGUAGUAUUUGUUCUUAUCAGUUUAAUAUUUAAUAAGCGGACGGUGGACAAUUGGUUCACAUGAUAUUAAAUCUAUUUUUUCAGGGGGAAAAGCCACCAUGGUAGCUUACUAUUGGGUUCCUUAAGCAGCGCCCAUGCGUUGCACUACUGUAAGGGCCUGCCGGGCCCCUC
Mangifera indica (mango) is the source of this 203-nucleotide small nuclear RNA. RefSeq annotates it as U2 spliceosomal RNA. The record is from RefSeq and is a predicted model, not a curated record. The transcript has a single exon. Lineage: Eukaryota; Viridiplantae; Streptophyta; Magnoliopsida; Sapindales; Anacardiaceae.